AGUGAACGCUGGCGGCAGGCCUAACACAUGCAAGUCGAACGGCAGCACAGUAAGAGCUUGCUCUUACGGGUGGCGAGUGGCGGACGGGUGAGGAAUACAUCGGAAUCUACUUUUUCGUGGGGGAUAACGUAGGGAAACUUACGCUAAUACCGCAUACGACCUACGGGUGAAUGCAGGGGAUCUUCGGACCUUGCGCGAUUGAAUGAGCCGAUGUCGGAUUAGCUAGUUGGCGGGGUAAAGGCCCACCAAGGCGACGAUCCGUAGCUGGUCUGAGAGGAUGAUCAGCCACACUGGAACUGAGACACGGUCCAGACUCCUACGGGAGGCAGCAGUGGGGAAUAUUGGACAAUGGGCGCAAGCCUGAUCCAGCCAUACCGCGUGGGUGAAGAAGGCCUUCGGGUUGUAAAGCCCUUUUGUUGGGAAAGAAAAGCAGCAGGUUAAUACCCCGCUGUUCUGACGGUACCCAAAGAAUAAGCACCGGCUAACUUCGUG
This 492-nucleotide ribosomal RNA is filed under the name uncultured bacterium. Its description in RNAcentral is "partial 16S ribosomal RNA". It matches the Rfam family "Bacterial small subunit ribosomal RNA", at positions 29 to 507 of the family's 1533-position model. The record is from RNAcentral.